UCCACCACCACGGCCGCCAACAUCAUCUGCAACAAUGAGUCUAGCAUGUUUUCCAGCUUUUGUUAUUUCAGUCAAGAGCUUAUUUGGAUCAAUUGCCCCAGAAAUUCGAAUGAUACAUCUUCAAAUCCAAUUCCAAUAAUGAUUAAGUGUAAGUAAAGAUUAAUCACUAGAUUUGUAGAGACUAAUUAUAGAAAAUAAAAUGUAAUAUCAAUUACAAAAAAUAACAAAAUUUUAUUGUUUUUUCUCUUCAACAUUUGCACAGAUCAAUGCUUGAUUUUUUCCGGCACAAGUACACAUCUAAUAUUCCUUGAAAAAAAGUGUACAUCUAAUAUAACUUUUUUUUUUAAAAAAGAUCUAAUAAUAUUUUUAACAUAUGUUUUACAUUCCCACUAACCGACAUCUAUUUAGGGUUUGUUAAGAUAAAAAUUAAUGUAUUUUUAAUAUAAAUUGAUUUAGAGAUUAUUUUACCCAAACUUUUAAGAAAACGGAAGUCAUUAUUGUAUUUCUCCAUCUUCUAUUAAAAAUUAUUUUUUCUCAAAAAAAUCAAAAUAACAUUUUAUUUUCAACAUACUUUUUUAACAAAAUGAUUUUUCAAAAAGGUUUUGAAAAUAUUAUUUAAAACAUAAAAAAUAGUUUCUAAAAAAAAAGGGGGGUUUAUUAUCUCCAAACAAUCAUAAACAAAUGCACUCUUAAGGAGUCAAACUUUCCAACAUGUUUUUUAAGAAAUAUACCAAUCAAGGAUCAAACUGGUGACACAAUUACAUACUAUAUAGAUUGGUCACUAAUGAAUGUGUAAAUUGUUACCUUUGAUACUCUUAAUCACUUCUAUAAUGGACUUCUUCCAACCAGCAAAUUGAGUAUUCACUCUCAGACCACAGAUCUACGGAAAAAAAAAC
This 896-nucleotide long non-coding RNA is filed under the name Medicago truncatula (barrel medic). RNAcentral describes it as "long non-coding RNA (MTRU_LNC005682)". Lineage: Eukaryota; Viridiplantae; Streptophyta; Magnoliopsida; Fabales; Fabaceae. The record is from RNAcentral.